UGCGGAGUGGUGUAAUCGGUAACACGCCUGACUCUGGAUCAGGUAACUCCAGGUUCGAGUCCUGGCUCCGCAG
Molecule: transfer RNA, 73 nt
Filed under: Armatimonadota bacterium
Lineage: Bacteria; Bacillati; Armatimonadota
Description: Armatimonadetes bacterium (sediment metagenome) tRNA-Gln
Rfam family: tRNA
About the family: Transfer RNA (tRNA) molecules are approximately 80 nucleotides in length.
Source: RNAcentral